RNAcentral lists this ribosomal RNA (253 nucleotides) under uncultured bacterium. RNAcentral describes it as "partial 16S ribosomal RNA". It matches the Rfam family "Bacterial small subunit ribosomal RNA", at positions 524 to 776 of the family's 1533-position model. The record is from RNAcentral.
UACGGAGGGAGCUAGCGUUGUUCGGAAUUACUGGGCGUAAAGGGCACGUAGGCGGCUCGGCAAAUCGGUCGUGGAAUCCCGACGCUUACCGUCGGAACGGCGGCCGAAAAUACCGGGCUCGAGGGCGUGAGGGGUCACUGGAACUCCUGGUGAAGCGGUGAAAUGCGUAGAUAUCAGGAGGAACGCCGGAGGCGAAAGCGAGUGACUGGCGCGUUCCUGACGCUGAGGUGCGAAAGCUAGGGGAGCAAACAGG